UUAUCAUUGUAGAUAUAUUGAAUAAACUUGAGUAAUCUACAAAGAAGCAAGUACUAAAUUCACUAUCAUGUUACACCUAUAACAACCUCCAAAAUUGUUUUAGUGUUAUAAUAGGAGUGUUUCUCAUGGUUGUUUUGUGUUUUUUGUAACUUCAUCUUCCACUGCUUCAACUAUUUCAUCUGCCUUGUUAGUUGAUGGCUUGAUUUCUGGUGAGGACGCUUUUGUUUCCUCCUCCACACCCAUUGACAUCCUUUCAAGAAGUUCUUGGCAAUCGAGAGCAGUGACCAUUACUGAGAUAUUAGCCCUGCCUCUCCAGCAUCCUAUGGCGAUAGUUGAUGGAUCCGCUUGAGCCUCUGACAGCGUCUUAUUUUCUUUGUUCAGAACUACCACACAACAACCCAUCAACAGCUGUGAGGCCUUUUCACCAAAUUCAGCAUCCACAAAAUCACCCAAUUUAAUGCUCUUGUACUGCAGAAGAUGCUUGAAGUCUGUAGGAGAUGCGUAUAAUAUUUGUUUUGUUAUAUGUGGCAGCAUCAAUGGCAAUCCUUCAGACGAUAUGCG
This 561-nucleotide unclassified non-coding RNA is filed under the name Hevea brasiliensis (rubber tree). The record is from RNAcentral. Lineage: Eukaryota; Viridiplantae; Streptophyta; Magnoliopsida; Malpighiales; Euphorbiaceae.